UUAAUUGGCUCCAGUACCACCUCGUGUUGUUGGCCUGGAACGAAAUUUCUCCUCUGUCUCCCCGCCCAGUCCACAGGCACCCUCACCAGGCCCCUCUUGAUGAGAGACGUGUGAGGGUUUUCCAGUCCUGAUUUUUCUGGAAUUUACGUGCACCACUCUGCCCUGGGAUUCUAACCUGUCACUCAUGCUCCUGUUUUGUUCCCCUCUUUCUCCUACGCGGAGGGGGCUGCGAAGGUCAGGCUGUUUUCCAUCACAGGCAGCCCAGCAAGUGCUGUCUCAAGGGAAUUUUGAUUCCCUGAGAUAGACCAAAGCACUAAGUGGGGCUAUUUUCCCUUGAUAUGGAUUUGGGGGGAGGUGCGCAUGGGGGGAGGGAGAAUUGAUGUAAUCGGGGUUUGGCAAAACAAGUCAAAUUUUUGUGGCCUUUAAGAAAGGCCACAACUGUCCUAACAAAUUAGUAGAGAACACUGAAGCCAAUACUUAUUUUGGAAAUUAGAUCCUGGAGCCCAGAGAAGGGAGCUAAGGGUCCUAGGUUGUCCAUGCCUUGCAACCUUGAGGGCCUGGGUUGGCUGGUAGAGGAGGAGGCUGAGGGCACGGGGUGGGAAGAGCACAGUGUGGCUGCAGGGGCCUGGGUUGGGCUGCCCGUCCCUGCUUGUGGGCCAUGGCCAGGGUCCUGCCACCCGAGGCUCAGAGUUCUGACCUGGCACUACCGAAGGGGCAAUGGAUUCUAUGAUCUCUUAUUUUCCUACAGUCUUCAGAUAUUCAAAUCUGAGGUUUCCUUCUCUUCUUACCACCUACUUAGGACCCCUAAUGGAUGAGCAGUUUCCUCCUAUCAGCCCUCCAAGUGUCUUUACCUUGUCACUGCUGCGUAGGAUUUGUCACCCGACGCCCAGCCUGUCCUCGGCUGAAGCAAGAACACGGGAGAGCCUCUAUGUGUGCUUUACAUCAGGCACAGAACUAAGGCCCUGGGCUCUGUGUGCCAUCGCCCAGACUGUGUGCUUCGCUGCCUGCCUGUCAUUACCAGUGUGGCUCCUUCUCUGA
Molecule: long non-coding RNA, 1038 nt
Filed under: Canis lupus familiaris (dog)
Lineage: Eukaryota; Metazoa; Chordata; Mammalia; Carnivora; Canidae
Description: lncRNA (ENSCAFG00040001908.1)
Source: RNAcentral